Molecule: long non-coding RNA, 1366 nt
Filed under: Macaca fascicularis (crab-eating macaque)
Lineage: Eukaryota; Metazoa; Chordata; Mammalia; Primates; Cercopithecidae
Description: lncRNA (ENSMFAG00000057950.1)
Source: RNAcentral
UCCUCUGUGAAGUUGCAGCUGCUCUGCAGCCAGGUACUAAAGAGCUGCUGGGAUAGGGGAAUGAUGAUCCAGGCUGAGGGUGAGGGGCUGGUGAAUAGGGUACUGGCAGCCUCUGAAGGUCUCCUUUUCCUAUAGUAUGAGAAGAUCCUGAAGCUCACAGCUGAUGUCAAGUUUGAGUCAGGCGAUGUGAAGGACACAGUAGCAGUGCUGAGUUUCAUCCUCUCCAGUGCGGCCAAGCACAGUGUCGAUGGCGGCUCCUUGGCCAGUGAACUGCAGCAGCUGGGGCUGCCCAAAGAGCACGCGGCCAGCCUGUGCCACUGUUAUGAGGAGAAGCAAAGCCCCUUGCAGAAGCACUUGUGGAUCUACAGCCUACGCAGCAACCCCAAAGUCCAGUCCUUCGGGGUCCAAGAGGGAAGAAGCCCCUGGCUGUGUGACCUUGGGCUGGUGCCUGGCUCUCUCUGGCUCUGAGUUCCUGGGAACGUCAGCACCCAAGGCAUGCCCUCAAGUUUAACACCUUGACAAGAAGGGUGGGGACACUGGGAUCAGGCCUAACCCUCUGGCCCCAAACCCUGUGGCCCCAGCUGGAGGAUGAGGAGAUGCUGGGCUUGGAUGGGGGAAUCAGGGGGGUAAAGGGACCUGCUCGCCCCUCAGCUUGGCUCAAAGGCUCAAAGUGUCAAAGGUUAAGCCUGCCCCUCAGGAAGCAGCCCUGGCCCAGCCAGACACUCACCAGGACAAGGGAAACUCUGACGAGCAGGAGGCUCAGGAUGAGGAGAGCCACGGCAUAGCUGGAGAUGAAGACGUCUAGUGGGCUGGAGGCUUUGGGGCCAGGAGUGCCUAGAGCAGAGCUAGAAGACUAUGACCAGGUGGGGCCCUGCCUCCCAGACUUCUGAGAAGGCAGAAUCUGGGCCCAGAAGGUGUUGUGGGACCAGAGAUCUGGGGCUAGGAGCAUCUUGGAGGGCUCCAUGAGGAGGGGAGGCAGGCUUCAGAUCAGGGCAUGUGGAGUAGGCAGAUGGACAGAGGGAGAGGGCCUGCAGAGGGAAGGAGGUACUGACUGAGGUCUGGGAUGACGGGUGUGCAGACCCUGGUGCAAACAGUCCCAGGAAGCUUUUACUCCUGGGGGGAGGCGGAGAGGGAGCAGGCCUGUCGCAUGGUGAGAGAGGAAGAAAGAGAGAGGAGGCAUCAGGCUCUUUUAAACAACCAGCUCUCCUAUGAACUGAUAAAAAACUCACUCAUUGAAUCACUUGAACCUGGGAGAUGGAGGGUGCAGUGAGCUGAGAUCACACCACUGCACUCCAGCCUGGGCUGUGAGUGAACUCUGUCUCAAAAAAAAAAAAAAAAAAAAAAAAAAAAAAAGAAAAAACAAAAG